This 962-nucleotide long non-coding RNA is filed under the name Homo sapiens (human). RNAcentral's name for it is "non-protein coding lnc-SYT16-67:4". The record is from RNAcentral. Lineage: Eukaryota; Metazoa; Chordata; Mammalia; Primates; Hominidae.
GAACAGCUGCGCGCCCGCCUAGCGCUGCGAACCCGGAGUGAGAGGCGCUUCAGAGACUGGAGGGACGGACCUGCAGGAGCCAGGGCUGCCCGCCGAGCUGCAGUUGCCGCUACUGCCGCUGUCAGCGCCCGACUGAAGAGUGACAGCCGCAAAAGCAGGAGUGAGCACCGAACCCCGCGCUUCUACCUAACAGGUGCAUGCGCCGAUCUGAUCUCAGGUAACCAUUCAUGAGCCUGAGGCUGUGAGAAAUGCUCGCUGUGCAAAGGGGAACUCUCACCAGAUUUUCUGAAACUGUUCUAGAAAUACACUUUUCGGAUUGAUUCAGCAUUACCAGCUUAUCCAACAAAAGUAUUAACAUAUACAUUAACAACGUCGAAAGUAGCCUACUUUAAGAGAAAAUAUGCAGAAGAAGAAGAUUUACAUCAAGAUUACCAUGGGUAUUUUCCAAAACACCUGAUAUUACCUGAGGACAGAACUUGCAUUCUCAAACUUUCUCUGGAGAAGCUCAGGUUUCUUGAAGACCCAGAAACCUACUUAAGAAGGUCUGUGUUAAUUAACAAUUUGCUGAGGAAGAUACAUCUAGAGACGGAGAAAGAGAGCUAUGAAUACUUUAAAGAAGCUCCCUGUUAUAAGACUGCAUAUUCUGAUACAAGAAAACGGCUGAAGUUUAUGGUACAGGAAUGCUGUUCUCAGUCUCUCUAUUAUGAAGAGCUGCAUUCGUAUCAUAUUGUGCCUUAUGCUUCGGAGAAUGCCAUUUAUGAAAUGGGCUACACUAGCAGCCACUUGGAGCAAAAUUCUCAGUUGCUUAUUUAUAAAAUGAAUUAAAGUAACUGUUAAGUCCAUUGAUACUUUGUUUCUAAAUGCUUGAACUGUUUAUAGUGAAGAUGUUAAUAUAAGGCACUCAUUACCAGUGCACUUGAUAUCAAAGAUGAGAUGCAUGCUGAACUGAUUGGAGAGAGCAA